CUAAGGCCCAAAGUGCUGGAGGAAGGUUUUCAACAGCCUCACUCUAAGUUCAGCAAACCCCGGUAUUAAGGUUGGCAAGGGCCAGUUGUCCACCAAGAAGACUUCCUGGGAGGCUGUAUCCAAGAGCAGGCCCUGCCCUCAAGCACAGUUCAGAGCUUUCAGAUCCUGCCCCCUGGGCUCCCUGCCACCAAGAGGACACUGGGAAAAGAACCCAUGGUGCAUGAGGUCAACUCCUAGUUCUUCCCUUUCUUGCUGGGCAAGGCCUAGAUCACACCUAACCUGGGAAGCACCACCCUCUUCCCUCCUUGAAGUGAGACUCCAGCCUCCUCAGUCCUCUUCCCUGAAGGCAGCUUCUGUUUCAUCCCCUCUCCAGCAAAGACCACCAGUGCAAGUAUUUUCAGGGGAGAGAAUAUAUGAAGAAAGCAGUCUUUUAACUGUAAAUCACGAUGCGUUUUGUAUGUUCCCAAUGACUGUUUGGAAUGAUCAAAUGAAUGAUUGUUUGGAACAUUGUCUGGAUGUUAUCAAAACAAAAACAAACCAGAAUUUAUUCCCCUGGCAAGUAACAAAUGACUUUCCAUGAGAACGCAGGUUUUGACCAAAGGAGUUUUAUUACUUGUCACAAGUAAGGAGAGCACUGGGAGUGUUCUCCAAAGCAGUGUUUCCUAAGAGAAAAUGAAAGCAGGGCUUUAUGUGGUGUUGGAGAGGGGAGAGGGUGCAUCAUCGCAUGUAGAGGAGGGUUCCCAGUGGCACAGAUGCAGUGAGUCAUGGUGCCAGCACACAGGUUGCAUGUUGUGGUAAUGAAGCUACACAUCUCCUGAGGUGCAGGCUUUAGCACGGUCAUGAGGAAAAUUCACUGGGGUUCAUCUGUAAGUGGUCGGGGUCUUUGAGGAGCUGGUUCCAACCAACUAGGUGACCACAUUUCACACAGGGUUUGAGAUAAAACUGGCUUCAAGGCAAGAGGCUGUAACACAGGCUGAUUGCUUGAAUUGACAAAAUUCCUGUACUCCCUGGAUUCCUUCCUGUUGGCCUACAAAUUUCCUCCCCUAGAGAUAUGUGACUCUUCAUUCUUGAGAGGUCAUUCUUCUGUAACUUUAUGCUGAUUAGGGAUGCCGUGUCCAGAGAUAUUAGGGGAGUGAAAAUCUCUAGACACUAAAUCUAAAUGUGUUUUGAGGUCUCCCAAGAAAGUCUGCAAAGGCUGGUAUUGUUGUUGGAAGUUGCAGUUGAAAUUUUUCUAAUCUGGAAGAUACAAAU
Molecule: long non-coding RNA, 1251 nt
Filed under: Pongo abelii (Sumatran orangutan)
Lineage: Eukaryota; Metazoa; Chordata; Mammalia; Primates; Hominidae
Description: lncRNA (ENSPPYG00000032423.1)
Source: RNAcentral